GUGGAGCCUGCGGCUUAAUUUGACUCAACACGGGAAACCUCACCAGGCCCGGACACCAGAAGGAUUGACAGAUUAAGAGCUCUUUCUCGAUUUGGUGGGUGGUGGUGCAUGGCCGUUCUUAGUUGGUGGAGUGAUUUGUCUGGUUAAUUCCGGUAACGAACGAGACUCUGGCCUACUAAAUAGUCGACGGGCGUUUUGGUGCAUGGGCCCCGUUCGACACAGUCUUCUUAGAGGGAUGAGCAGCGAGUAUAGCUGCAGGAGAUUGAGCAAUAACAGGUCUGUGAUGCCCUUAGAUGUCCUGGGCCGCACGCGCGCUACACUGAAUGGGUUAGCGGGUUGUCCUUCUCCGAGAGGAGCGGGAAAUCGCGUGAAAACCAUUCGUGAUAGGGAUUGGGGCUUGCAAUUGUUUCCCAUGAACGAGGAAUUCCCAGUAAGCGCAAGUCAUCAGCUUGCGUUGAUUAAGUCCCUGCCCUUUGUACACACCGCCCGUCGCUACUACCGAUUGAAUGAUUUAGUGAGGCCUUCGGACUGGCGGUCUUGGACUGGGGCGUUGGCUUUCUCCCAGCAAUGGGGUGCCGGCGACUCGCCUGGACGGGCCGGAAAGAUGUCCAAACUUGAUCAUUUAGAGGAAGUAAAAGUCGUAACAAGGUUUCC
RNAcentral lists this ribosomal RNA (654 nucleotides) under Ancylomenes longicarpus. RNAcentral's name for it is "SSU rRNA". It matches the Rfam family "Eukaryotic small subunit ribosomal RNA", at positions 1176 to 1804 of the family's 1831-position model. The record is from RNAcentral. Lineage: Eukaryota; Metazoa; Arthropoda; Malacostraca; Decapoda; Palaemonidae.